GUGCCAGCCGCCGCGGUAAUACAGAGGUCUCAAGCGUUGUUCGGAUUCAUUGGGCGUAAAGGGUGCGUAGGCGGCGUGGUAAGUCAGAUGUGAAAUCCUGGGGCUCAACCCCGGAACUGCAUUUGAUACUGCCAUGCUAGAGUACUGGAGAGGAGACUGGAAUUUACGGUGUAGCAGUGAAAUGCGUAGAUAUCGUAAGGAAGACCGGUGGCGAAGGCGAGUCUCUGGACAGUAACUGACGCUGAGGCACGAAGGCCAGGGGAGCAAACGGGAUUAGAUACCCCGGUAGUCC
Molecule: ribosomal RNA, 292 nt
Filed under: uncultured bacterium
Lineage: Bacteria
Description: partial 16S ribosomal RNA
Rfam family: Bacterial small subunit ribosomal RNA
Source: RNAcentral